Ceratotherium simum simum (southern white rhinoceros) is the source of this 295-nucleotide non-coding RNA. NCBI's taxonomy places the organism in Eukaryota, Metazoa, Chordata, Mammalia, Perissodactyla, Rhinocerotidae. The record is from RefSeq and is a predicted model, not a curated record.
GCCACUUCGUCAAAGCAGGAGGCCUUCAUGCCCUUCUCAGCAGGCCGCCGCUCGUGCCUCGGGGAGCCCCUGGCCCGCAUGGAGCUCUUCCUCUUCUUCACCUGCCUCCUGCAGCGCUUCAGCUUCUCGGUGCCCGCUGGGCAGCCCCGCCCCAGCGACUAUGGUGUCUUUGGCUUCCUGGUGACCCCGUCCCCCUACCAGCUCUGUGCUGUGCCCCGCUAGAGGGGGACACCAAGCCCCAACCCCCUCCUCGGCCAGGGCCCUGAUGUCCAAUAAACCAGUAUGAUGGCUCCAA